Daphnia pulex (common water flea) is the source of this 496-nucleotide long non-coding RNA. RefSeq lists it as uncharacterized. The transcript is spliced from 2 exons. The record is from RefSeq and is a predicted model, not a curated record. NCBI's taxonomy places the organism in Eukaryota, Metazoa, Arthropoda, Branchiopoda, Diplostraca, Daphniidae.
CACGCCUAUUGCACUCCGGGGUCCGGAGCGCUCUAGUGUCAAAAGUGGCUAUUGCACUCCGGAGUCCGGAGUCCUCUAGCGUCAAAAGUGGCUAUUGCACUCCGGAAAUUUAUGGCGACGAAUUGCAAAUAACGACUGAUUCUGUGUUUAGACUUUACAAUGGUUUUGAAUUCAUUGAAUAUUCAAUUAAAGGUUUCAGUAUAUUGAACUUUGUUUAUGAUUAUCUCCGCGGCGUUGGAACCCAAAGCAACCCAUCAUCAAAGGACAAGGCGCUUCCAUAUUCCGCUCUUAAAGGAUCUUUGAUUGACGCCGCACCAUGUGCCAAUUCUUUCCCCUCUUAAAUCAAUUAUUUUUUCAUUGUCAAUUCAUUCAUGUGAUGACAAAGCACCGAGUGAAACUGAACACGAAAAUACCAAGUAUUUUUCGCACUCACAAUUCAGUUAAAAUGUCUUUUGAUAUUCUCACUAUAAUAAAGUAAACUGCAUCUGCAUGUUAA